UACGAAGGGGGCUAGCGUUGCUCGGAAUUACUGGGCGUAAAGCGCACGUAGGCGGACUCUUAAGUCGGUGGUGAAAUCCUGGAGCUCAACUCCAGAACUGCCUUCGAUACUGAGAGUCUCGAGUUCGGGAGAGGUGAGUGGAACUGCGAGUGUAGAGGUGAAAUUCGUAGAUAUUCGCAAGAACACCAGUGGCGAAGGCGGCUCACUGGCCCGGUACUGACGCUGAGGUGCGAAAGCGUGGGGAGCAAACAGG
This 253-nucleotide ribosomal RNA is filed under the name uncultured bacterium. RNAcentral's name for it is "partial 16S ribosomal RNA". It matches the Rfam family "Bacterial small subunit ribosomal RNA", at positions 524 to 776 of the family's 1533-position model. The record is from RNAcentral.